UACGGAGGGGGCUAGCGUUGUUCGGAAUUACUGGGCGUAAAGGGUGCGCAGGCGGCCUUUUAAGUCAGGGGUGAAAGCCCUGAGCUUAACCCCGGAACUGCCUUUGAGACUGAAAGGCUAGAGACCGAGAGAGGAGAGCGGAAUUCCCAGUGUAGAGGUGAAAUUCGUAGAUAUUGGGAAGAACACCGGUGGCGAAGGCGGCUCACUGGCUCGGUUCUGACGCUGAGGAGCGAAAGCGUGGGGAGCAAACAGG
RNAcentral lists this ribosomal RNA (253 nucleotides) under uncultured bacterium. RNAcentral describes it as "partial 16S ribosomal RNA". It matches the Rfam family "Bacterial small subunit ribosomal RNA", at positions 524 to 776 of the family's 1533-position model. The record is from RNAcentral.